GUAAGUAUAAAACUGUCUCAGUGAAACUGAGAAUGGCUCAUUAAACCAGUAACGGUUCCUUUGAUUAAUCCUACAAGGAUAACUGUGGUAAUUCUAGAGCUAAUACAUGCGGAAGAAGCGCCGACCUCACGUUCUGGCGUGCAUUUAUCAGACCAAGACCAACCCGGGGUUCGCCCCGGUCCCUUUGGUGACUCUGGAUAACCCAGCCGAUCGCACGGUCUUCGCACCGGCGACAGAUCAUUCGAUGGUAGGUUCUGUGCCUACCAUUGUGGCAACGGGUGACGGGGAAUCAGGGUUCGGUUCCGGAG
RNAcentral lists this non-coding RNA (308 nucleotides) under Branchiostoma floridae (Florida lancelet). RNAcentral's name for it is "Eukaryotic small subunit ribosomal RNA". It matches the Rfam family "Eukaryotic small subunit ribosomal RNA", at positions 59 to 388 of the family's 1831-position model. The record is from Rfam by way of RNAcentral. Lineage: Eukaryota; Metazoa; Chordata; Leptocardii; Amphioxiformes; Branchiostomatidae.